RNAcentral lists this unclassified non-coding RNA (528 nucleotides) under uncultured cyanobacterium. RNAcentral's name for it is "partial contains 16S ribosomal RNA, 16S-23S ribosomal RNA intergenic spacer, and 23S ribosomal RNA". The stretch from base 1 to 153 matches the Rfam family "Bacterial small subunit ribosomal RNA", at positions 1385 to 1533 of the family's 1533-position model. The record is from RNAcentral. Lineage: Bacteria; Bacillati; Cyanobacteriota.
ACACACCGCCCGUCACACCAUGGAAGCUGGCUACGCCCGAAGUCGUUACCCUAACCCGGUUUUGGGAGGGGGAUGCCGAAGGUAGAGCUAGUGACUGGGGUGAAGUCGUAACGAGGUAGCCGUACCGGAAGGUGUGGCUGGAUCGCCUCCUUUACAGGGAGACCUAGUCUAAUUACCAAUAGAUGAAAAAGUUGGUAAUUCGCAAGAAUCCUUAGGUCGUGAAGGGAGCAAGAAAAAACUUUCAAACUGUAAUGGGUGAGGGUCAAUGGGCUAUUAGCUCAGGUGGUUAGAGCGCACCCCUGAUAAGGGUGAGGUCCCUGGUUCAAGUCCAGGAUGGCCCACCUAAAAUACACAGGCAUCCUGCCUGUGCCACAAAAAAAGGAAAAAGUUUUGGCAUUGUCUCUUGUAAUCAAGAGCAAGAGAUAAUGCUGGAAUAGAUUCCAGCAAGAACCUUGAAAACUGCAUAGAACUAGAAAGAAAGAGUCAGGUAAAAAAUCCUACAAGCUAGAGCUAGAAAGAGCAAAAGGU